CUGAACUGAAAGCUUCUUCCAGGAGGACUAGUGUUCAUGGGACCAGUAGACAUGGAAUUUACAAAGCAGGGAAUCAAUCAACUGUCUUGCCCAGGUAGAUUUUCAGACCCUUCCAAGAUUUCUGCGAGUGCUUAUAAUUCUCAACAUUCUGGGUUGCUAUUAUCUAAGAAUGGCUGGUUUGUCUAUAGCCUUGAUUAAACACUUCAGAGACAUCCUUCAAUUCCAUCUUAACCACACCAUCAGCAUUUACGUAGCUCAGCUAAAGAAAUAUUGAAAGCUAUUUAAAAACUUCUUCCUUCGUCUGUUUCCAAAUACUUUUUAUUAUAUACUGAUUCCUAAACUCUUCUUCUGUAAAACACUGAUUUUGCCACAGAAUAAACAAAAUGAUUGCUUGUGAGCUCA
Long non-coding RNA from Grammomys surdaster, 402 nucleotides. RefSeq lists it as uncharacterized. The transcript is spliced from 3 exons. The record is from RefSeq and is a predicted model, not a curated record. Lineage: Eukaryota; Metazoa; Chordata; Mammalia; Rodentia; Muridae.